CGGACGGGUGAGUAAUGUCUGGGAAACUGCCCGAUGGAGGGGGAUAACUACUGGAAACGGUAGCUAAUACCGCAUAACGUCGCAAGACCAAAGAGGGGGACCUUCGGGCCUCUUGCCAUCGGAUGUGCCCAGAUGGGAUUAGCUAGUAGGUGGGGUAACGGCUCACCAGGCGACGAUCCCUAGCUGGUCUGAGAGGAUGACCAGCCACACUGGAACUGAGACACGGUCCAG
This 231-nucleotide ribosomal RNA is filed under the name uncultured bacterium. RNAcentral describes it as "partial 16S ribosomal RNA". It matches the Rfam family "Bacterial small subunit ribosomal RNA", at positions 99 to 334 of the family's 1533-position model. The record is from RNAcentral.